Molecule: ribosomal RNA, 523 nt
Filed under: uncultured bacterium
Lineage: Bacteria
Description: partial 16S ribosomal RNA
Rfam family: Bacterial small subunit ribosomal RNA
Source: RNAcentral
GACGAACGCUGGCGGCGUGCCUAAUACAUGCAAGUCGAACGCUUUUUCUUUCACCGGAGCUUGCUCCACCGAAAGAAAAAGAGUGGCGAACGGGUGAGUAACACGUGGGUAACCUGCCCAUCAGAAGGGGAUAACACUUGGAAACAGGUGCUAAUACCGUAUAACACUAUUUUCUGCAUGGAAGAAAGUUGAAAGGCGCUUUUGCGUCACUGAUGGAUGGACCUGCGGUGCAUUAGCCAGUUGGUGAGGUAACGGCUCACCAAGGCAACGAUGCAUAGCCGACCUGAGAGGGUGAUCGGCCACACUGGGACUGAGACACGGCCCAGACUCCUACGGGAGGCAGCAGUAGGGAAUCUUCGGCAAUGGACGAAAGUCUGACCGAGCAACGCCGCGUGAGUGAAGAAGGUUUUCGGAUCGUAAAACUCUGUUGUUAGUGAAGAACAAGGAUGAGAGUAAAAUGUUCAUCCCUUGACGGUAUCUAACCAGAAAGCCACGGCUAACUACGUGCCAGCCGCCACAGUAA